CAGCUAAGCAAACUUCCGUUUAAGCGACCGACCCGAAACGCGGGGCAGUGUACAGGGAUGUACACUGCCGCCAGUGAGCCAGGGACGGCUCAUCUGGCGGGAACCCCGCUCCCCAAAGCCAGUCGCUUAAACGGUUAGUUUGCUCUGCGU
Molecule: non-coding RNA, 150 nt
Organism: Desulfosporosinus lacus DSM 15449
Lineage: Bacteria; Bacillati; Bacillota; Clostridia; Eubacteriales; Desulfitobacteriaceae
Source: Rfam